This 468-nucleotide ribosomal RNA is filed under the name uncultured bacterium. RNAcentral describes it as "partial 16S ribosomal RNA". It matches the Rfam family "Bacterial small subunit ribosomal RNA", at positions 28 to 507 of the family's 1533-position model. The record is from RNAcentral.
GACGAACGCUGGCGGCGUGCUUAACACAUGCAAGUCGAACGGAAAGGCCCUGCUUUUGUGUGGUUCUCGAGUGGCGAACGGGUGAGUAACACGUGAGUAACCUGCCCUUGACUGUGUGAUAACUUCAGGAAACUGGGGCUAAUACCGCAUAGGAGCUCCUGCUGCAUGUUGGGGGAUGGAAAGUUUCGGCGGUUGGGGAUGGACUCGCGGCUUAUCAGCUUGUUGGUGGGGUAGUGGCUUACCAAGGCUUUGACGGGUAGCCGGCCUGAGAGGGUGACCGGCCACCUUGGGACUGCGAUACGGCCCAGACUCCUACGGGAGGCAGCAGUGGGGAAUAUUGCACAAUGGGCGGAAGCCUGAUGCAGCAACGCCGCGUGCGGGAUGCCGGCCUUCGGGUUGUAAACCGCUUUCGCCUGUGACGAAGAGUGAGUGACGGUAAUGGGUAAAGAAGCAACGGCUAACUACGUG